Molecule: long non-coding RNA, 875 nt
Filed under: Homo sapiens (human)
Lineage: Eukaryota; Metazoa; Chordata; Mammalia; Primates; Hominidae
Description: non-protein coding OIP5-AS1:30
Source: RNAcentral
AAGCUGCGAAGAUGGCGGAGUAAGGCGUGCCGCUGCAAACUGGCCUCUGGGCCGGGGGCGAGCAGCCCCCGGGAGGCCGAGUGCAUCUGUUGGACCGUGCGAGGAGAAGAAAAAAAAUAUCGGCCAGAGGAGAGGAACUAACCGAACAUUCUUCCUCCCUACCUUAUAGAGGGGAGUGGUCAUCUACACUAAAGCAAAGUGUUAGGCGCGUCCGUGCGAAGAGACCACCAAACAGGCUUUGUGUUCCUUAUCACAGGAAGAAAAUUUUCCUUGACCUUUAGGUGCUUUUAUAUUCAUCUCAAAAACAAAAUUCUGAACUCAGGACUUGGCAAGCUGAAGUGCAAUGGCGCAAUCUCAGCUCACUGCAACCUCCGCCUCCCGGGUUCAAGCGAUUCUCCUGCCUCAGCCUCCUGAGUAGCUGACAUUAUAGGCACCUGCCACCACGCCCAGCUAAUUUUUGUAUUUUUAGUAGAGAUGGGGUUUCACCAUAUUGGGCAGGCUCGUCUUGAACUCCUGACCUCGUGAUCCGCCCACCUUAGCCUCCCAAAAUGCUGAGAUUGGAGGUGUGAGCCACCGCGCCUGGCCAGUGUGUCCUUUCUUAAUUGACAGUGACAUUAUAUCUGCAAAAUAGGCUUCAUACCUACUGUGUUAGUUUUAGUUUCCUAGGCCUGCUGUAACAAAGCACCACAAAUUGGGUAGCUUAGAAUAACAGAAAUUGUUUGAUAGUUAUAAAUAAAGGUCAGAUGUCUAAAACCAAAGUGUUGGCAGGGCCGUCCCUCUGAAGGCACUGAAAAAAAAAUUUCCAGUCCUUCUAAUUUCUUGUGGUUCCUUAACUUGUGGCAGCAUAACUCCAGUCUUCACAUGAAGUUCUUCCU